This is a long non-coding RNA of Zea mays, 2615 nucleotides long. RefSeq lists it as uncharacterized. The transcript is spliced from 2 exons. NCBI's taxonomy places the organism in Eukaryota, Viridiplantae, Streptophyta, Magnoliopsida, Poales, Poaceae. The record is from RefSeq and is a predicted model, not a curated record.
CCUCACCCUCACUCUCCCUUCCCACCUCUCCCUCACACACGUCGUCUCUGCAGUCUGCACGCUGGAUCUGCUGCCUCCCUACCACCACGCCCAUGCUGACCUCGCCCUCCUCCCCAGCGCGCCCCUACCACCGCCUCCUCCUGAUCGCGCACCUGUCACCGCCUCCACCCGACUCUGCCGCUAAGCGGGCGUCCCACCGGGUCGUGUUCGGCACCAAAGCGACUGGAUGGGCUCGGCCCGGACCCCACUCCCGACCAUGCGCUGCCGCCAGUCGAUGAGCCGGUCAGUCGCCUUGGCGUACCGCUUCCUGCCCGACGCGUCGCGGUUGCCAGACCAGAGCGCCUCCGCCAUGGCCGAGGCUCUCGGCCACACCCGGCCGUGCAUGACGGUCUAUCUCUGCAUCUGAACUGCACUACAACUCUGCAUACAGCCGUAUCACUACCACCUUCACAUAUAUAAUUUUUUUCAGGUUAGAUCAACAAAUAGCUUCACAUUCUGCAGCCCCUGUAGGAGUCCUCAUACUAAAAAUUUUCAGUGAAAUUUAUAAGUCUCACAUAUGUGCAAUGCUGCAUCAGAGUAAGAAUUUACUGCAAAAGUCAGUUGUUCGAGGCAAAAAAUUGACAGUCUUCAUAUGUAGUUUUGAUCAUUGUGAAGAGUAUAUAUUGCAGUCAUUGUACCAUGGCACGGUGCCACGGUCUAUAAUACAGACAAUUAUCAAAAGUGGAGAGACUACAAAUUAAACCCUUCCACCACAUGAUAAAGUUAGAUUAGUAUAGCCCUACAGGAGGCACUAUACGGGAACAUACCAAAGAACUCACAUAAGGACAUGAUCAAAAUAUAGGGCCCGCUGAGGCAUUUAUGCAAACAGACCUCCGUCUAGCAACGGGAACUCCAUAGUUUCAUUGCUAAAAUCUAGAUCAUCAUACCAGUUAUUCUGCAGUCCAGGUAGUACCAUUGUAUCAUUGCACUGGAUUAAAUCGAUGCUAUUCAGUCCUAUAUCCCCGAAGGAGACGCCUUGAAGUUGAUAGCCGGACAGUUCAUCAGGUAGACAAGUCAAAUCAGUGCUGCAUAAUAUACUUGCCUCUUCUGAAGUAAGCAAAAUAUUUUAGUAUAAGACAGGAUAAUUAUCGAUCAUAAAUACAUAUGCAUGCUUAUAAUAUAAUUUCAGUUGAUAGUAGCGAUUGUUUGCAAUAGAUUUUAUCGAAAAACAGACCAUUCAGUAGUUAUAGAUUCUCUAAUAUGUCAGCCAAAUGAACUAAGAAUUCUGUCCAGAUGAAAAUAAAAGAUUAAAGAUGUUCUCAAAGACAAAUAAAAUAUGUUCGUUGGGUCAUUCACUGAAAAGUUUUCUGCUCCCAAAGCCAGCUAUGGUGUGACAAAAAAUAUAGCAAGUAAAUAGACUCCACUCUGCAGCGCUAUAAAAUCAGAAGACAAGAUGAUACGACCCAACAUGUAAUCUUGUUUGUUGCAGGUCUUUACUACGACUGCAACUUUGAAGUUUGGUAUUCAUAUAAUCAAUAGGCUCAACAGUAUGUCCCUUGUAAAUGGUAGGAUCAGAGUGCUUCUGCUAUGUCAUCUUCGACACUUCCUGGUGUUUGCAACAAACAAAGUGCUUCUAUGCUGUGCAGUUCUUGUUUCUUACAAGUGGUGAUGGUGGUAGUGGUCUGGUCUCUAUGUGAGCAUUGGUCUAGAGUAUCGUGAAGCUAUGCGGCUCUUCUUUCAUGUUCAAGAUGAAGUUCAUGAAGCUUGGAUCGAAUCUGGAUACCUUUAAUGAUGAUGGCAAUGAAAUCAGAUGAUCGAUCGCUUCUUUUAAUUUGGCUUUUACCUUGUUUCUUUAAUGUUGCCUUUGAAUCCUUGUGUUGUUCUUAGAAUCUGACUGAUUUUUAUUUAUUUCAAUUAUAAAUGGUAUGAUCUGACUAAGAAAUUCCUAGACGCAUUCUCCCUGAUUGCUGUUACUGUUGAUGGAUACUAGAUGAUUAUAUAAUAUGUGGUAAAGUUUUCCCAAUAAGCUCAGUUGUGCAGAUCGUUUGUUUCUUCUUCUUAGUUAGAGUGAAAUUAUUUACUUUAUGAAUAACUAGAUCCAUAUAGGAUAUAGUGAUGUUAUUUAGGAUGGAGGGAUUCUUAUCGCUCUUUGGUGCUUCUCCCUAUAAUCAGUGCUGAAUAACUAGAUCCAUAGUGCUGAUAAAUUUUUGGUGCUUCUCCCUAUAAUCAGUAAUAGCAUACUAAAAGUACCUUUGAACUAGAAACCUUAUGAUAUUAUUUUUCCACAAUAAAUUCUUGGUGCUACUCCCUGUAUAUCAGAGGUUAUAAUCACUCCUGAGCACAACGAAGAAGGGAUUUACACGAUCAGAUUCUACAUUCAGCGAAGAUGCAGGCUAUCUCCUGCUAAUGUUGCUGCCGAAGAAAUGAACUUCUUACUUUUAUGUAGAGGCAACACUUACUAAUAUGAUGCUCGAAUUUGCAAUGAAUGAUGUGUGUGUGUGCUAUUUUCGGACCACUGGUAUUUAAAACUGACAACCAUGAAAUUUUGGUACACAUGAAUCCCAAGCAAUUUGUGUAACAUAUGGCUAAACAAAACAUUGAUGCUUGAUUUGUGAUCCAGCUGAUUUUGAUGUCAA